Molecule: ribosomal RNA, 269 nt
Filed under: uncultured bacterium
Lineage: Bacteria
Description: partial 16S ribosomal RNA
Rfam family: Bacterial small subunit ribosomal RNA
Source: RNAcentral
GUCCACGCCCUAAACGAUGGACACUAAGUGUCGGAGGUAUUGAGCCCUCCGGUGCCGCAGCUAACGCAUUAAGUGUCCCGCCUGGGGAGUACGGCCGCAAGGUUGAAACUCAAAGGAAUUGACGGGGGCCCGCACAAGCGGUGGAGCAUGUGGUUCAAUUCGACGCAACGCGAAGAACCUUACCUGGGCUUGACAUGCUGGUAGUAGAAACCUGAAAGGGCAACGAUCCCCGCAAGGGGAAGCCAGCACAGGUGCUGCAUGGCUGUCGU